AGAAGGUUCAGGAGACUCCAUGGAGCCUCAAACCCUAGAUCGACUUUAAGCUCAAAUUGGAAGGAAAGAUGAGGCUGAAAUCCAUAACCGAGCAUGAAUUAAUGAUCACCAACACGAGGGGAUCAUAAGCAUUUAGUCAAGGAGACGUAAGCUCGGAAGGCACAAGGGUUAAAAAGGACACAAGGAAGCGAUCGCGAAUGCGGACGCAAAAAGGUGGUACGAGUCACAGAUUUUCAUUCCAAGGAGUAACGAUCAAAGACCGAGUCACAAGUCGGAUUGUACGGGAAUACUUGAUUAUGUAAAAUGAUAGUUUUAAGUU
Molecule: long non-coding RNA, 319 nt
Organism: Helianthus annuus (common sunflower)
Lineage: Eukaryota; Viridiplantae; Streptophyta; Magnoliopsida; Asterales; Asteraceae
Exons: 3
Source: RefSeq, a predicted model, not a curated record